GACGUAGGGCGCAAGCGUUGUCCGGAAUUAUUGGGCGUAAAGAGCUCGUAGGCGGCUUGUUGCGUCGACUGUGAAAAACCACGACUCAACCGUGGGACUGCAGUCGAUACGGGCAGGCUAGAGUUCGGUAGGGGAGACUGGAAUUCCUGGUGUAGCGGUGAAAUGCGCAGAUAUCAGGAGGAACACCGGUGGCGAAGGCGGGUCUCUGGGCCGAUACUGACGCUGAGGAGCGAAAGCGUGGGGAGCGAACAGG
RNAcentral lists this ribosomal RNA (253 nucleotides) under uncultured bacterium. RNAcentral's name for it is "partial 16S ribosomal RNA". It matches the Rfam family "Bacterial small subunit ribosomal RNA", at positions 524 to 776 of the family's 1533-position model. The record is from RNAcentral.